GACGAACGCUGGCGGCGCGCUUAACACAUGCAAGUCGAACGGAAAGGCCUGCUUUCCCUUGUGGAUUGCGGGUACUCGAGUGGCGAACGGGUGAGUAACACGUGAGUGAUCUGCCCCCAACUUGGGUAUAAGCCUGGGAAACUGGGUCUAAUUCCCGAUAGGACUGCAGGGUGGUGCCUGUGGUGGAAAACGAUUUUCUAGUGGUUGGGGAUGAGCUCGCGGCCUAUCGGCUUGUUGGUGGGGUAAUGGCCUACCAAGGCGGCGACGGGUAGCCGGCCUGAGAGGGUGGACGGCCACAGUGGGACUGAGAUACGGCCCAGACUCCUACGGGAGGCAGCAGUGGGGAAUAUUGCACAAUGGGCGGAAGCCUGAUGCAGCGACGCCGAGUGGGGGAUGACGGCCUUCGGGUUGUAAACUCCUUUCGACCGCGAGGAAGCCACAUGGUUGGAAGGGUGGUGACGGUAGUGGUAGAAGAAGCACCGGCUAACUACGUG
Molecule: ribosomal RNA, 494 nt
Filed under: uncultured bacterium
Lineage: Bacteria
Description: partial 16S ribosomal RNA
Rfam family: Bacterial small subunit ribosomal RNA
Source: RNAcentral